AGGCGUAUAGCUCAGUUGGUAGAGCGGUGGCCUUACAAGCCGAUGGUCAACGGUUCGAGUCCGUUUUCGCCUA
This 73-nucleotide transfer RNA is filed under the name Uronema sp. CCAP 334/1. Its description in RNAcentral is "tRNA-Val". It matches the Rfam family "tRNA". From Rfam's summary of the family: Transfer RNA (tRNA) molecules are approximately 80 nucleotides in length. The record is from RNAcentral. Lineage: Eukaryota; Viridiplantae; Chlorophyta; Chlorophyceae; Chaetophorales; Uronemataceae.